GCGAUCGGCGAAAACACGUUGAAUGCAUGAUUGCAUAUGCAUAGGUUCACCAUGGAUCACUAAAGUUAAGCAACGCAGUGCGUGGUUGGUAUUCGGAUGGGUGACCAUCUGGACAAUCGCGUGCUGGUGACU
RNAcentral lists this ribosomal RNA (132 nucleotides) under Diaphorina citri (Asian citrus psyllid). Lineage: Eukaryota; Metazoa; Arthropoda; Insecta; Hemiptera; Psyllidae. The record is from RNAcentral.